GUGGACGCCAGUCUGCGUGGAGCCGACCUUGAAAUACCACCCUUUAAUGUUUGAUGUUCUAACGUGGACCCGUGAUCCGGGUUGCGGACAGUGUCUGGUGGGUAGUUUGACUGGGGCGGUCUCCUCCUAAAGAGUAACGGAGGAGCACGAAGGUUGGCUAAUCCUGGUCGGACAUCAGGAGGUUAGUGCAAUGGCAUAAGCCAGCUUGACUGCGAGCGUGACGGCGCGAGCAGGUGCGAAAGCAGGUCAUAGUGAUCCGGUGGUUCUGAAUGGAAGGGCCAUCGCUCAACGGAUAAAAGGUACUCCGGGGAUAACAGGCUGAUACCGCCCAAGAGUUCAUAUCGACGGCGGUGUUUGGCACCUCGAUGUCGGCUCAUCACAUCCUGGGGCUGAAGUAGGUCCCAAGGGUAUGGCUGUUCGCCAUUUAAAGUGGUACGCGAGCUGGGUUUAGAACGUCGUGAGACAGUUCGGUCCCUAUCUGCCGUGGGCGCUGGAGAACUGAGGGGGGCUGCUCCUAGUACGAGAGGACCGGAGUGGACGCAUCACUGGUGUUCGGGUUGUCAUGCCAAUGGCACU
This 576-nucleotide ribosomal RNA is filed under the name Salmonella enterica subsp. enterica. Its description in RNAcentral is "partial 23S ribosomal RNA". It matches the Rfam family "Bacterial large subunit ribosomal RNA", at positions 2164 to 2739 of the family's 2925-position model. RNAcentral also lists the same sequence under 2 other names. Lineage: Bacteria; Pseudomonadati; Pseudomonadota; Gammaproteobacteria; Enterobacterales; Enterobacteriaceae. The record is from RNAcentral.